GACUGCGUUGCUCAGUUGGCAGAGCAUUGGGCUAGUAUUCCUAAGGUCGUAGGUUCGAUUCCCACCGUGGCCA
Paramuricea clavata is the source of this 73-nucleotide non-coding RNA. NCBI's taxonomy places the organism in Eukaryota, Metazoa, Cnidaria, Anthozoa, Malacalcyonacea, Plexauridae. The record is from the annotation of a GenBank genome assembly.